ACUCAAAUGAAUUGACGGGGACUUGCACAAGCGGUGGAUCAUGCGGCUCAAUUCGAUGACAAACGAAGAACCUCACCAGGGUUUGAAACUCAACUGACCGCCUUAGGAAACUUUGGCUUUCGCAAGACAGUUGGGCAGGUGAUGCAUGGUCGUCGUCAGUUCGUGGCUUGAGUUGUUCCCUUCAGUGGGGUAACGAACGCAACCCCCGUUGCCUGUUUUAAAAGUCAGGCGAGACUGCUCCCUCACGGGAGAGGAAGGUGGGGAUGACGCCAGAUCAGCAUGUCCCUCUGAUAUCCUGGGCUGCACGCAUGAUACAAUGGUCGAGACAACGGGUCGCGACGGGGUAACCCUGAGCUAAUCCUUAGAAACUCGACCCCAGUUCGGAUUGAGGUCUGCAACUCGACCUCAUGAAGCCGGAAUCGCUAGUAAUCGCGGGUCAGCUAUACCGCGGUGAAUACGUUCUCAAGUCUUGUACACACCGCCCGU
This 486-nucleotide ribosomal RNA is filed under the name uncultured bacterium. RNAcentral's name for it is "partial 16S ribosomal RNA". It matches the Rfam family "Bacterial small subunit ribosomal RNA", at positions 899 to 1397 of the family's 1533-position model. The record is from RNAcentral.